RNAcentral lists this long non-coding RNA (1743 nucleotides) under Triticum aestivum (bread wheat). RNAcentral describes it as "long non-coding RNA (TAES_LNC010082)". The record is from RNAcentral. Lineage: Eukaryota; Viridiplantae; Streptophyta; Magnoliopsida; Poales; Poaceae.
AAGCAAGCAAGCAAUCAUGGCAUCACCUGCAAUCUGGCAUGACACGCCAGGUUAGUACAUUGAAUGUACUUGCAAGCUCACAACAACCAUAAACAUCAAGGCGAGACAAUAACAUAGCAUUUAACAGGUUAAUUAAAUUAACAACUAUUAUGAUGAAACAACUACUAAGCAUGGUAUGAAACUGAUACAAUACUAAUAAAUCACCAUCUCAGAUCUCCAUAACCAUAUCACUCUUGGCUAACCGGCCAAGCAAUAUACCAUCUCGAUCACCUCGUGAUCAAAUCCAAACAGUGCUCUUUCCGGCGAUCACUACCAUGACCAACACUUGGUCUCAAAUGGUGAUCUUUCCGGCGAUCACUACCAUGACCAACACUUGGUCUCGAACGGUGAUCUUUCCGGUGAUCACUACCACGACCAACACUUGGUCUCAAACGGUGAUCUUUCCGGCGAUCACUACCACGACCAACACUUGGUCUCCAACAUCAUCAUCAACAUCCUGCCAAUCUGUACUACUCAAAUAUCAACAUAUAUAUAUGUAUAUCUAUAUCACCUAUAAGUCAUUCCGUCAUGUGAGUGUUGAUCGAACGGUGGGACCUAGUAUGAACCCAUGCCCAUGAUCGAGGACGCGGCUAUCGAUAGUUUAAACAAAUACACUCUGUAGAGGUAGCGCACUUUACCCACACCACGAAACCCAUGGCCUCGCACUCCCAUUCAGGUGGACCAGCGGUGUUCCGACAAAACCGUUCUACUACCAUGACACUCUCCCGGCCACUCCGACCAACACCCCUUCUGGGUUUAGUCCUGGGUGGCCCCGUGUCUACCAAAGACACAACGACCACCGUCGUGGCCAAAACAUAAACGUCCCAAUGGGGACAAAAAGGCGCCUAACAACUACGGGCACACAAGGUUAUGUCUGCUUACCGGGCCAGGGUACGCACGCCCAUAACCUUCCCUCGUUGGAGGCACCGACAAGAGACAUGACAAUAGACCACAUUAUGGCCUUCCCAUAAGGCAAAUGUGGUUGCACUGGAAGAGCCCGGUUCGGUGGCACCUGACCAACUUAAUGACGAAAUUUAUCCCCAAAAAUAUAACUGUGAUAACUGAUACUCCAAUAUCAACUAUCAAACUAUAAUCCAAGUCAUAGCAAUAACCAACAAAUAAUCCAAGCAUAAUAUCAUCAUCUCAAAAUACUCCAAGGGUAGCACUACACUACUGUCAUGAUGAAUCCGAAAAUCAUAAUCCUACUACUCCAAUAACAAGAAUAAAGCUAUUCGGCUAAGAUCCACAUGUAAACAUCAUUUCUGAAAAUAAUACUCCAAGCAACAGAACAUCAACUAGCAUCAUGAAAAAUAAUCAUACUAACCACUAAUAAUCCAAAGGUAGCAUGAUAUCCAAAGUAAUACUUCAAAAUAAUACCGGAUACCAUCAUGAAAAUAAUAAUCAUAAUAGCCACUAAGAAUCCAAAGGCACGUGUCAUCCACAUAAUCAUCAAAAUAUUAAUCCUAGAACUCCAAGCAAUAUCAUGGCAAUAUCAAGCUCUAAACAAUACUCCCGGAAAUGCCAUGAACAAAUCAUACAUAGCUAAUGCAGUGUUUUAAACAAGUUCAAAUGAAUAAACCAUGUCACUGCAUUGCAAUCAUGCAAAUGGAGGGUGUGGCUUGUCUGGGAUGGAAGAAUACACCGCGAGAAAGUGCGAGAAACUCGCGGAACGAAUCACCGGAAAGCGUUCUCUCUCGGAGGGGG